Molecule: ribosomal RNA, 301 nt
Filed under: uncultured bacterium
Lineage: Bacteria
Description: partial 16S ribosomal RNA
Rfam family: Bacterial small subunit ribosomal RNA
Source: RNAcentral
CAGUCGCCGCGGGAAUACAGAGGGUGCGAGCGUUAAUCGGAUUUACUGGGCGUAAAGCGUGCGUAGGCGGCUUUUUAAGUCGGAUGUGAAAUCCCUGAGCUUAACUUAGGAAUUGCAUUCGAUACUGGGAAGCUAGAGUAUGGGAGAGGAUGGUAGAAUUCCAGGUGUAGCGGUGAAAUGCGUAGAGAUCUGGAGGAAUACCGAUGGCGAAGGCAGCCAUCUGGCCUAAUACUGACGCUGAGGUACGAAGGCCAGGGGAGCAAACGGGAUUAGAUACCCCCGUAGUCCCUGUCUCUUAUAC